RNAcentral lists this ribosomal RNA (890 nucleotides) under uncultured delta proteobacterium. RNAcentral's name for it is "bacterial SSU rRNA". It matches the Rfam family "Bacterial small subunit ribosomal RNA", at positions 58 to 922 of the family's 1533-position model. The record is from RNAcentral. Lineage: Bacteria; Deltaproteobacteria.
CAAGUCGCGCGAGAAAAGGGGGGCAACUCCCUGAGUAAAGCGGCGAACGGGUGAGUAACACGUAGGUAACCUACCCUCGAGCCUGGGAUAACCUACCGAAAGGUGGGCUAAUACCGGAUAUGACCACGGGAGUUGCGGCUCCUGCGGUGAAAGGUGGCCUCUGCUUGCAAGCUACCACUCAUGGAUGGGCCUGCGCGCCAUUAGCUAGUUGGUGAGGUAAUGGCUCACCAAGGCGAUGAUGGCUAGCUGGUCUGAGAGGAUGGCCAGCCACACUGGGACUGAAACACGGCCCAGACUCCUACGGGAGGCAGCAGUGGGGGAUAUUGCGCAAUGGGCGAAAGCCUGACGCAGCGACGCCGCGUGGGUGAUGAAGGCCUUCGGGUCGUAAAGCCCUGUCGAGGGGAAAGAAACGGUUCCGACCCAACACGUCGGGACCCUGACGGUACCCCUAAAGGAAGCACCGGCUAACUCCGUGCCAGCAGCCGCGGUAAUACGGAGGGUGCGAGCGUUGUUCGGAAUCACUGGGCGUAAAGGGCGUGUAGGCGGUCUGUUAAGUCUGAUGUGAAAGCCCGGGGCUCACCCCCGGAAGUGCAUUGGAUACUGGCGGACUCGAGUCCCGGAGAGGAGGGUGGAAUUCCUGGUGUAGCGGUGAAAUGCGUAGAUAUCAGGAGGAACACCGGUGGCGAAGGCGGCCCUCUGGACGGUGACUGACGCUGAGACGCGAAAGCGUGGGGAGCAAACAGGAUUAGAUACCCUGGUAGUCCACGCUGUAAACGAUGAGCACUAGGUGUCGUGGGUAUUGACCCCCGCGGUGCCGCAGCUAACGCAUUAAGUGCUCCGCCUGGGGACUACGGCCGCAAGGUUAAACUCAAAGGAAUUGACGGGGGCCC